UGCUUAGGAUCAGUGUUUGUUAGCAGGAAAGACUAAAAGUCUCAUCUCCUUACUCCUAACCCAGUACAGUCUGCCUUUCCACACCGGUCAAAUACAAGUUUCCUAUAAAACAUCCUUUUGAGAAAUAGCAACUGAGUUAGGUAAAGAAACUGAAACAGAUUUUUUUUUUUUGCCUUGAAGAUUUUUAUAGCUUUUGGUGGAAUCACUACCCAGAAGUAACAUUAGGAGGAAAAUAGCUUAGCUAUGACAAUUUUAGUGAAAUAUCAGUGUUCCUUUAUUAAAUAUGUUCUUAAUUUUUAAAGUCAAUACUGUCGGGUGGUGCCCAUGGCUCGAGUAGGGCACUGGCCCCAUAUGCCGAGGGUGGUGGGUUCAAGCUCAGCCCCAGCCAAAAAGUACAACAACAAAAAAAUUGAUUUAAAGUCAGUACUGUCAUUUUAAGUGUUUUGUGAACACCAAAGAAGAUUCAAGCUGUUAAAUUUCUUGGGAAGCAAAUAUUUAAAUUCAGUUAGUGAGAAAUUAAGUGUCCAAAAGCCCUGAUUAUAUUAGAGUUAAGUGGUUCCUCAUUCCCCCUGCUUGUUCUGAGGGGUCAAAAGGUCCUUGCCCAUUCUCCUAGGAAGUAUUGUAUCCAUUGUAUAUAGCUUUCUUUUGUAAAAUAAUGCUAGCGCUACCAGGCAGGCCAGAUUGCAUAACCCUAUUCUUUUUUUUCUAACCUAGCUAUGUCUGCAAAGUUGUCUGCAUCUUCCUACUAACACACAAUAAGUAAGAUUGUGUCCAUAUAAGAGCAGUGCUUCUCAAAGUAAGAACCUGUGACCAGCGGCCUCAGCAUCCGUGUGAAUUUGUUUGAAAUGCAGAUUUUCAGUCCCCACCCCAAGCUUCUCUGAAGGGAAUCUCUUGAGAGGUAUUGUGUUGUCAAACCAGAGGUAAUCUUUGGCCUAGAGCAAAAAUAGGAACCACUGGAGGAAGAGCCUCUAAGGAAGAGCCAUCCAGAAAUUUCUAACAAUUUUCCAGAAGGAUUGUUACUCUUCAAAGCCAAUGCUGAGGAAGAAGGACUCCGGCCCUUUGAAGUGUGUUGUCAGUGAGGAAUGUCAACACCAAAGUCUCCUUACAUGUCACUUUUGAUGCCAUCUUCAUGGAAACUGCAAAAGUUGUGAAUGUGUGUAUGUAUGUAUUACAUCGUCAAUUUUUACUAUUUAGCUUCUGAAGUAGCUGUCCAUUUAGUGGCUUUAUACCAGUAUUGUUCUUUGUUAGGUAUAAGAGAGCACUGAAAUGAACUGUACCUACUGGGCCCCUGGAGGAAUCUGUGUGCAAAAAUGAAUGCUGUAAUUUGUGGAGUUACAUGAAGAUGAGAUCCUACAUAGUUAUCUCUCUACAUGUACCUGUUCAUACUUACAGAGCAGGUGCAGAUGGAAAUCUCUUUAGAAGGUAGUAACUACAAAAUAAUAGAGUAUAAAUUCUCUAUGGUUAGUUUGACAUUUGUAUUUCUUAGCUCACAGCAACCUCAAACUCCUGGGUUCAAGUGAUCCUCUUGCCUCAGCUUCCCAAGUAGCUGGGACAACAGGUGCCCAGCACAAUGUCUGGCUAAUUUUUUUUUUCUUUUUUUAGUAGAGAUGGGAGUCUCACUGUUGCUUAGGCUAGUCUUGAACUCCUGAGCUAAAGCAGUCUACCAUCCUCAGCCUCCCAGAGUGCUGAGAUUAUCAGGCAUGAGCCACCAUGCCUGGCCACUGAAAGACUUCUUUAGGAGAGUUAGAAAUUAAUGCUGAGGCAAUGAAAACAUAGUAUCAAAAUAAAUAUAUGCUUAAUGAAACAUGUUUUUAAAAAGUCUUACAAAUGCAUAAGGAAAUGGCUUAAAAAAUCAUAGAGAUACCGGCAAAAUUAAUAAACAGGCCUUUUACAAACAAAUAUUUAAAAGGGGAUUAUAUAUGUACAUACACACACACAUAUAAAUUUGUUGAUUUCAUUGAUUUUUUUUCCAGAGGGCAAAUUGGAUCUACAUAAAGAGGCCACCACAUGCCUAACAGAAUGAUGAAACUGAAACACUCAGGAAAUGUUAAUUAUUGUUCAGGCUGGGAGCAGCCAAACUCAGCACUUGUGUGUGCCAAAAAUUAAAAAGAUUGUAAUGAGAGGGAUCACAGGAGAUCUAAAGAAAUAGAUUCUAGAUUCUACACUUCAGGACUGUGCAUUAUGACAGUUCAUCUCUACUUGAUUUACAGAUUGAGCACAUUGUCAGUCAGCUGCAUUCCAUCAAGGGGUUGUCUACCUGUAGACACAAUGAUUGGCGAUACUUAGGAAACAUAUUAUGGAAAAUGGAUCUUGGCAUUCUUCAUAAAUUAUUCAAAAAUUAAC
Molecule: long non-coding RNA, 2343 nt
Organism: Nycticebus coucang (slow loris)
Lineage: Eukaryota; Metazoa; Chordata; Mammalia; Primates; Lorisidae
Exons: 4
Source: RefSeq, a predicted model, not a curated record